RNAcentral lists this ribosomal RNA (253 nucleotides) under uncultured bacterium. RNAcentral's name for it is "partial 16S ribosomal RNA". It matches the Rfam family "Bacterial small subunit ribosomal RNA", at positions 524 to 776 of the family's 1533-position model. The record is from RNAcentral.
UACGUAGGGUGCAAGCGUUAAUCGGAAUUACUGGGCGUAAAGCGUGCGCAGGCGGUUUUGUAAGUCUGACGUGAAAUCCCCGGGCUCAACCUGGGAAUUGCGAUGGAGACUGCAAGGCUUGAAUCUGGCAGAGGGGGGUAGAAUUCCACGUGUAGCAGUGAAAUGCGUAGAGAUGGGGAGGAACACCGAUGGCGAAGGCAGCCCCCUGGGUCAAGAUUGACGCUCAUGCACGAAAGCGUGGGGAGCAAACAGG